This is a long non-coding RNA of Oncorhynchus tshawytscha (Chinook salmon), 1193 nucleotides long. The record is from Ensembl. NCBI's taxonomy places the organism in Eukaryota, Metazoa, Chordata, Actinopteri, Salmoniformes, Salmonidae.
GUGUCUUUUUGUCGAGCAAAACCUUUUUUAUUUUCAAUCAAAAAUAAUUGUUCUGAAAGCAACUUUUUUUCUGACACAAAGGAAGUCAAAGCAGACACCUACAAAGAUGGCAUCUCAGGUGAGCAGCAGUGGGCUUUAUUGACAUAUUCUAAAAAUGACAUCUACUGCUUUAUUUUUAAUGGUCAUAUAUCUCAGUUAUUGUUUUAAUAUCCACAAAAAAUAAGCUGUUUUCUUCACUUUCAGAGAGCGAGCUGACCAAAAGUUUGAAAAUGUAGAUAUUGCCAGAUGUUCACUGUCUGAGGAACAUGCCGUGGAAGCUUUAUUGCUGGCAAAAGUGUCCAUAACCAGAGAUAAACUGUUCUGUGUUCUUUUUCUCCAUUUCUGCCUGUAUUGUUGUACAUGGAGCCUCUCACAUGCAUUAAUUUAAAAACCCUUAAGAUGUCAGCUGCUAAUUUUCAGAUUUACACUACAUAAACACACCCAUUUUCACUGGACUAUCUGUUGCUGCCAAGUCAUGAUUUCCCUGGGGGUUAGCCUGGCAAUAAUCAAGUGGUGAGACACAUAGCCCUCUAUUUUUAAAUGUUUCAGGUACACUCUGAUAGGUGUCUGCGUCACAUACAAUAUCUUAUAUUGACAUUAUCUUCUAUUGUUUGUCCUCAUGUUUGUUUUUCAGCAUAAAGUACGCUGUAGCCACUUAGUGUGGACACCACACACACAAAAUAAGUCUCUCUUCUUCACUUCAUCCCUCUCCCCCUUCUCCACAAAUCCUCUAGGUUAUAUAAGCUGUUUUGGUGAACCCCUCCUGCAUCUGAACUGGCUGACACAGAGGGCACAGCAUGAUCAUAGGUAUUUGACGUGAGAGAGGAAGCCAGUCCCGUCAUCGCCACCUCACCUGCUCUUAAGAUAACCUUCAGGCCAACUGGGGGCCCAAGGCUGGUUAGGAAACACCACAAUUGUGAUGAACUGAGAGAAUAUUAGAGUAGCACUGUAAUUCCUGAAUCAUAUGCUGUCUGCCGCUGUUCUUACCUCUUUCUCUUUCUGUCUGCUACACCUCUCUCCCCACCUCGUCUUUCUUCCCUGUUUUAUAAUGCACACCAUAUGUGCAUUGAAGUACAGAUUGAACUUGUAUUUAUAAUAUUACAAUUAUCAUAAUUAUAAUGCAUUUAUGUAUUUAUAACACCUGGAUAAUGAAC